RNAcentral lists this non-coding RNA (69 nucleotides) under uncultured Blautia sp. RNAcentral's name for it is "Cyclic di-GMP-I riboswitch". The stretch from base 9 to 69 matches the Rfam family "c-di-GMP-I riboswitch aptamer", at positions 12 to 83 of the family's 87-position model. From Rfam's summary of the family: GEMM was predicted in a large-scale screen for bacterial structured RNA regulatory elements. Lineage: Bacteria; Bacillati; Bacillota; Clostridia; Lachnospirales; Lachnospiraceae. The record is from RNAcentral.
GGAAAUCAGCAAACCAGAUGAAAGUCUGGGACGCAAAGCUACAGGGCCUGUAAAAUGGCAGCCAGUUGC